Molecule: ribosomal RNA, 500 nt
Filed under: uncultured bacterium
Lineage: Bacteria
Description: partial 16S ribosomal RNA
Rfam family: Bacterial small subunit ribosomal RNA
Source: RNAcentral
AUUGAACGCUGGCGGAAUGCUUUACACAUGCAAGUCGAACGGCAGCACGGGGGCAACCCUGGUGGCGAGUGGCGAACGGGUGAGUAAUACAUCGGAACGUGCCCAGUCGUGGGGGAUAACGUAGCGAAAGUUACGCUAAUACCGCAUACGAUCUACGGAUGAAAGCGGGGGACCGUAAGGCCUCGCGCGAUUGGAGCGGCCGAUGUCAGAUUAGGUAGUUGGUGAGGUAAAGGCUCACCAAGCCGACGAUCUGUAGCUGGUCUGAGAGGACGACCAGCCACACUGGGACUGAGACACGGCCCAGACUCCUACGGGAGGCAGCAGUGGGGAAUUUUGGACAAUGGGCGCAAGCCUGAUCCAGCCAUUCCGCGUGCAGGACGAAGGCCUUCGGGUUGUAAACUGCUUUUGUACGGAACGAAAAGGCUCUGGUUAAUACCUGGGGCUCAUGACGGUACCGUAAGAAUAAGCACCGGCUAACUACGUGCCAGCAGCCGCGGUAA